This 405-nucleotide ribosomal RNA is filed under the name uncultured bacterium. RNAcentral describes it as "partial 16S ribosomal RNA". It matches the Rfam family "Bacterial small subunit ribosomal RNA", at positions 30 to 526 of the family's 1533-position model. The record is from RNAcentral.
AUUGAACGCUAGCGGGAUGCUUUACACAUGCAAGUCGAACGAGUGGCGGACGGGUGAGUAAUAUAUCGACACGUGCCCAGUAUCGGGGGAUAACUACUCGAAAGCUUGGCUAAUAACGCAUACUAUUGGAGCGGCCGAUACUGGAUUAGCUAGUUGGUGAGGUAAAGGCUCACCAAGGCAACGAUCCGUAGCUGGUUUGAGAGGACGACCGGCCACACGGGGACUGAGAAACGGCCCAGACUCCUACGGGAGGCAGCAGUGGGGAAUGUUGGACAAUGGGGGAAACCCUGAUCCAGCCAUCCCGCGUGUAUGAGAAGGCCUUCGGGUUGUAAAGUACUGUUGGCAGAGAAGCGGUAUCUGCAGAAUAAGCACCGGCUAACUACGUGCCAGCAGCCGCGGUAAUAC